UAGGGAAUAUUGGUCAAUGGAGGCAACUCUGAACCAGCCAUGCCGCGUGCAGGAAGAAGGCCCUAUGGGUCGUAAACUGCUUUUGAACAAGAGAAAACCCCGGUACGUGUACUGGGUUGAUAGUAUUGUUAGAAUAAGCAUCGGCUAACUUCGUGCCAGCAGCCGCGGUAAGACGAAGGAUGCAAGCGUUAUCCGGAUUCAUUGGGUUUAAAGGGUGCGUAGGCGGACUGAUAAGUCAGUGGUGAAAUCUCUCGGCUUAACCGAGAAACUGCCAUUGAUACUGUUAGUCUAGAGUACAGAUGAUGUGGGCGGAAUAUGACAUGUAGUGGUGAAAUACUUAGAUAUGUCAUAGAACACCGAUUGCGAAGGCAGCUCACAAAACUGUAACUGACGCUGAGGCACGAAAGUGCGGGGAUCAAACAGGAUUAGAUACCCCCGUAGUCCCUGAGCGGGCUGGCAAGGCGCAU
RNAcentral lists this ribosomal RNA (467 nucleotides) under uncultured bacterium. RNAcentral's name for it is "bacterial SSU rRNA". It matches the Rfam family "Bacterial small subunit ribosomal RNA", at positions 355 to 825 of the family's 1533-position model. The record is from RNAcentral.